This 519-nucleotide ribosomal RNA is filed under the name uncultured eukaryote. RNAcentral's name for it is "SSU rRNA". It matches the Rfam family "Eukaryotic small subunit ribosomal RNA", at positions 1161 to 1703 of the family's 1831-position model. The record is from RNAcentral.
AGGGCACCACCAGGAGUGGAGCCUGCGGCUUAAUUUGACUCAACACGGGAAAACUCACCCGGCCCGGACACCGUAAGGAUUGACAGACUGAGAGCUCUUUCUUAAUUCGGUGGGUGGUGGUGCAUGGCCGUUCUUAGUUGGUGGAGCGAUUUGUCUGGUUAAUUCCGAUAACGAACGAGACUCUGGCCUACUAAAUAGACGGUAUAUCUGAAAGUAUACCGCGCUUCUUAGAGGGACAAGCGGCGUCUAGCCGCAUGAAAUAGAGCAAUAACAGGUCUGUGAUGCCCUUAGAUGUCCGGGGCUGCACGCGCGCUACACUGAAAGAAUCAGUAUGCGCCGUCGCCUGGUUCGGAAGAACCGGGUAACCCGAGCAAAUUCUUUCGUGCUUGGGAUAGGGAAUUGCAAUUAUUUCCCUUAAACGAGGAAUUCCCAGUAAAUGCGGGUCAUAAGCUCGCGUUGAUUACGUCCCUGCCCUUUGUACACACCGCCCGUCGCUACUACCGAUUGGAUGACUCAGUG